Molecule: long non-coding RNA, 813 nt
Organism: Passer montanus (Eurasian tree sparrow)
Lineage: Eukaryota; Metazoa; Chordata; Aves; Passeriformes; Passeridae
Exons: 5
Source: RefSeq, a predicted model, not a curated record
UUCUGGAGUGAGAACUCCGAGUUCCUCUUCCCUGUCUCUCUUGGUCUGGAGGAGAAUGAAAGAAGCUGGAGGCAACUUAGAGGAAGGACUUGUGGCAGAAGUGCGGGGAUUUCACACUCAGAUGAGGCCUUAAGGGUCGGCAGUGGUACAGAAACAGGAAGGAGCAGAUGCUGGAAAAAAAUUCAUUUGAAAAUUAUCUCGAAGAGGAAGAGAACGUGUAGAAGGGACUACAGAAUAAAUUUACCACAUUUGAUUAGGAGUCCUGUGUGUUAAGUGGCCAGCAGCUCCACCAAGCAUUAUGGCAGGAUUUGAACCUUCAUCUGCUGCAGCCUUGGACAGAAGGUUUUGGGAGAGAGGCACACAGUGCACAGUUCCUGGGGACCGCUUAUGUGCCAUCGUGAUGUCAGCAACUCCAGAGUCUUAUUUGGAUAUAGCCUAAAACAAACUUCCCUGUUGCUUCAGAGAUAUUGUGGGACCACUUGGAGGUGUGAGACAUGAAGUCCUGGCCAGAGUCCAAGUUUAGUGUAGUUCCAGCCUGUUUCCCAGAGAAUCUGCUCUGUGUGUUCAGGAGGACAUGCUCUCAUCUGUUCUGCGUGUCUGCUGUGGGCUGUUGAAGCAGCUGACACGCAUCACCCCAGAGGAGCUGCAUGCUAUAAUUGAUCUACCAUCUCUCCAGCCUUUGGUGAUGCCUGACAGCAAGCCACAGAGGUGCAUGCUUAUAGCAGAUACCUGCUAACUUCUGGCAAGAAAAGGAGCUGGAGGCUUGGAGUUACCACUUAGUAUCAGAGCUAUCGACUGUAAUUCUCUGCCUUU